CAGAGUGAACAGAGGCUGGCACAGAGGCUCAUGUCAGUCGGUCAGUCAUGGGUCUUUCUGGGUUACAGAUAAGGACAUGGAAACUGUUUGUCUGCCUGAGUUGGAUGUGUGUGGUUGGGACGAUGGCAAAGCCACAGUACAUGGUGGCUGUUCCUGCGGUUCUUGAAGCUGGAGCUGAAACCACAUUCUGUGCGAGUCUCCUGCAGCCCAACGAGACUCUGGUCAUGACCGUCACUCUGAUCUCCCAAGAGAAGAACACAAGCCUUCUCAAAAGGACAUCCAGUGAAGAGUCUCAUACCUCCUAUCAGAUAGACCAGAAUUCCCCAUGCUACAAGGAGACAAAGCAGCUUGUCAGCACCAUCAGUCAGCACGGUGUGUCUGAGAAAGAGGUCGGUAUCCGGAACUAUCCAAAUCAUACUUACCUGGCAGGGGAGACACCAUGAUCAAGGGGAGCCUGCGCCUUUCCUGUCCCCGCGGCCGAAGGCUCGGCUUUCAGAGUUCAAUCAGUCGGAUGUGUGGAAAUACUAUGGAUUCCAACGCAGAUGCAACUUCAGAAACUACCGGAGGAAGGUGUCUGCCCCGCGGUCCGACCGGGUCCAACACCUCCAGAUUUGAACUGCCGUGUCCUUGACAAGCAUUUAGCUCUGUUCACCGAACUCCAGCUUGUCAGCACCAUCAGUCAGCACGGUGUGUCUGAGAAAGAGGUCGGUAUCCGGAACUAUCCAAAUCAUACUUACCUGGCAGGGGAGACACCAUGAUCAAGUAGGUGGUUCACCCAUUGCGAGGCUCGGCCAUUGCACUCUCGGCCGUGCUGACCAGUGUGAAUUCCCCAAAUGUGGGAAUCUCAACUGCAUAAUUUAUGGUAGUGGGGGACUGCGUUCGCGCU
RNA transcript from Seriola aureovittata, 886 nucleotides. RefSeq lists it as uncharacterized. The record is from RefSeq and is a predicted model, not a curated record. The transcript is spliced from 5 exons. NCBI's taxonomy places the organism in Eukaryota, Metazoa, Chordata, Actinopteri, Carangiformes, Carangidae.